This 407-nucleotide ribosomal RNA is filed under the name uncultured bacterium. RNAcentral describes it as "bacterial SSU rRNA". It matches the Rfam family "Bacterial small subunit ribosomal RNA", at positions 509 to 916 of the family's 1533-position model. The record is from RNAcentral.
CAGCAGCCGCGGUAAUUCGUAGGGUGCGAGCGUUAAUCGGGAUUACUGGGCGUAAAGGGUGCGUAGGCGGUUGGUUAAGUUUGUCGUGAAAGCCCCGGGCUCAACCUGGGAAUGGCGAUGAAAACUGGCGAGCUGGAGUGUGGCAGAGGGGGGUGGAAUUCCAGGUGUAGCAGUGAAAUGCGUAGAGAUCUGGAGGAACACCGAUGGCGAAAGCAGCCCCCUGGGCUGACACUGACGCUGAGGCACGAAAGCGUGGGGAGCAAACAGGAUUAGAUACCCUGGUAGUCCACGCCCUAAACGAUGGCAACUGGGUGUUGGGGGAGCGAUUCCUCAGUACCGUAGCUAACGCGUGAAGUUGCCCGCCUGGGGAGCACUGCCGCAAGGUUAAAACUUAAAGGAAUUGACGG